Non-coding RNA from Xyrichtys novacula (pearly razorfish), 12451 nucleotides. NCBI's taxonomy places the organism in Eukaryota, Metazoa, Chordata, Actinopteri, Labriformes, Labridae. The record is from the annotation of a GenBank genome assembly.
CAGCAGUUGGGUGCUUCUGUCUGUUAACUGGACUGAUCAGCCAUUUCAGCAACAGCCCCCCACCUAAAAGCCAACUUUGUGUAAAAAUUGCAAAAAUUAGACUAAUAACUGAGCCUAUUUUUGCACUAACUGUCCAUCCAGGAAAUCUGUUUUCCAUAUCUGGCCUGUUAGCUCAUUCAACAUUCAUCAUAUACACAUUUAUUUAACAGACAGUGCAUAGGAGUCAGAAAUGUUGUUUCAUGUGAUCGCUUCAAUAAGAUUAUGAGUUUUUAGGCCAUGUGUCAUAAACUUGAGUGAGAUUCAUGCCCUCUGAUUUGUAACUCUGCAAGCGUACACCCUGCUGCUGUUAUCUACUCUUACUGUUUGUCUUUCCUGACAGUCUGCUUCUCUCUGAUUCCAGUGGAAAAACAUUCCCAUCCUUUAGUAUGAAAAUAAGUGUGCGUGCGCAUGUGUAUCGGUGUGCGUCAGUUAUGAUGGCACGUGGAAUCGGCCCCUGUAUAAUAACGCCGGUCAACAGGAAGCACAUUCCACUCCUUCCUGUUUGUGGCCCGUUCUCACUUCCUGUGAAGUGUCUGAUAACUGACACAACCACUUAAUCACCAUUUCACUCAAAAGGUCCCGUCAGAAGACUGAAAUAACUCCACAGUGACCUCACGAUUGAAUAUUUUUAGUUUGUUUUGCUAUAGGCAUUUCAGAGGAUAGAGUGGCGAUGAUGACGGUUACAGGCAUCACACUGAAAGACAGCUCUGGUCUUGGUAUUAGCUUUUUAUUUAAAAACCCCUGCUACCUACUACCACCAAAUGCAAUCUUGCCGUUUACUAUAUAAUUUUUCGACAAUUAGACAGUUUAACUUGAUUGCUAUCCUUGUAACUUUAACUAAGAGAUGACAGUUUUGCAUAUUAAAACAGUCAGCAAACUACUGUACGUUAGCAAGAGACCAACUGGAUGUAUGUCAAACAAUGAAAACAUCGCUUUUAUAGCUCUGUACUGUUUGUUUGUAUGAUCAGGAAAUUUCAUUGUUUUUACGUCAUUUCUGCAUCUUUGGAGGUUUUAUUUUCUGCCUGGCUAACCCAGCAACUCUUCCAUAUAAUUUAGCUUCCAUGCACAGAACACUUAAUCCAGUUUGAGUUUGACUGAGCCGUAAACAUGAGAGUAAAAAUCGAUCCUAACGCUGACACAGACUAUCCAGAAGUCCAUCAGUGUGUAUUUUUUAAAAUAUUCAAAAUCAAUUAAUAUCAAUAAUCCAGCAUGUCUUUACUAAGAUUCAUUCAAACCUGACAGAAGCAGCCUUUAUUACUACUUUGAUUGAUUGGUAAAUAGACCAUUUAUAAAUGGUGAGCAGAUAGUUUAUUAAUGUUUAAUCAUCAUUUAUAAAUACCAUAUAGACCAUUAAUAAUUUUACAAUCUUAAAAACCUAACCCUAACCCUAACUUUAUAAUAACCAUCUAAGUAAUGUUAACAGGUGGUUUAAAAACCAAAUAUUAACCAUUUACAAAGUGCUACUGACACACAUUUUAAUCUAGAUGUUUUACAACCAAUAUUUAAACCCUAUAUAAACCUUUAAUAAAUAGUCUAUUAAUAAUUAAUGAGAAUUAUUAAUCAUAAUUUCAUUGCUUGUUAAUGGUAAAGUAACUAUUAACUUACAUAAAUAAACUAUCUAUUUGGCAUUUAUAAUUGGUCUAUAUGCUGUUUUUAAAUGAUGAUUAAACAUUAAUAAACUAUCUAUUUACCAUUUAUUAAUUAUGGUUACCCUUAAAGCGUUACUGAUUGAUUUAAUAAUCUUGCUGCUAAAAUUACAUUUCUAAAGGACUAGAGUAAUGUGGACAUUAAACCUAUGGCUGAUGUGAGCUAACUGGGUGCUUUUCAAUGCUGCUAUAUGACCCACUGAGGAUCCUGCUCACACUGACAUUGAGAGACCAUGAGAGGGUAAAAAUGGUAUCUAAAAAAUCUCUCUGUAGAAAGUGAAUUGCUAACUAUGCACUAAAAAGAGAUUUCAACUCGUGUCAAAAAUCACACCUCAUUUACUCUUUUGAGCAUUUAAGAGCUAACUCCAACGAAAAACAAAAACUCAUGCUGUACUAAUCAUUGAUGACAACAUUUCUUCAAGCACAACCACAAGGUGAAAUUGCUGUCAAGUUCCCAGUGGAAGUGUUGUUGGAGCAGCCAGACAGGCAGACACUAAAGGGGAACGGCUGAGUCAUGGUCAGUCCCCACGUUUGUUUGAGUUGCCGUUGAGGGGGAAUGUUGGAGCAGCUCCAGCGAUUGUGAGGGCCAGGCGCUGUGUGGCAGCCUCACUUCCCCGACUCAAGUGGCCAGGGAGAUAAAGAGGCUUCCAGGGGGGCAUGCCAGCAGCGGCCUCAGUCCCAAACAUAAACAAACACUCAGUCUAUGAAUUUAAUGUGGGCAUAAUGUGAAUAUAAGCUGCAAAAGCAAAUCCAGCUGAUUGGCUUGUAGCUGAAGCAGCAAGCUGAGACUGUUUCUCUUUUUUUAUUUACUCAACAAUAUGACCGUGGAUAACGUAACUGAUUGCUGGUGUAGAUGUUCAACAGACAUAAGGAAACUCCAGAGCUGUGUGUGUGAUCCAACGAAAAACACGAGUCUAGACAGGAAGACAUAUGAGGAGGAAAGGGAAGCGCUCAGAAUUAGCAUGAGAUUAAAGUUAUCUGUAUUUAUCUAUAAGAGUCCGUAGACUCCAUCGAAGUCCACUCCCUUCCCCACUGGAGUAAACACAGGAAGAUGCUGCUUAUGAGUGUCUGUGAUGCUGAAGACCCUCAGAUACCAGCACUGAUCGGACAGAUUCACCUUCUGCAACCAUUACCCCCAGUGAGUUACAAGUAGCUCUGCUGUGCUGUAGUACGUACAGACCAGUUUUGUGACAACGCUUGAUUCAACACUUAAUCCGACUGAGAUAUUUUGACAAGUCACUCAUCGAAAAAAGUGACUUUUACACGAGCAUUCAUAGAGACAGCCUGUGAGGGUUCUCAGUCAUCAGGUCAAGACAGUUUUAUGUUUAAUCCAACAAGUAGAUAGACUUCUGCCUUGCAAAUGACAAGGUGAGAAGUGUUACAGAAGUCCACCUACAUAUUUGGAUUGAACUGAAAUCCUAUUAGAUAUAAUAUGCUGAUAUGACCUCACCUUUUUACACAAGCAUAAGACUUAAAUUGGUGUUUAAGUGAGUAAAAUUUUAAUGCGUUAACUCUCUUGGCAUGUAAGCAUUGCUGACUGUAUAUGAAAUUACAUUGUGAGCUGUGAAGCCACACGUGCGCCAGUCACACUACUGACGCCACAUCCAUAAGGCUAACCAAAACACUCAUAAAACUUUCCUGUAAAAUGUCCAGGAUAUGUCCAAUGAACGAUAUAUUGGUGUUUUUUUAUGUUUUGUCCUGCUGUUCCUCCUCUAUUCAUCACAUAAAAUUCACCUGUUCAUAAAUCAGCACGAAAAGAGCAAACUUUUAAUUGUCUGUUUAUCCGGUCUGUUAUAAUGAGGAGGCAGGCUUUAGGAGCUGUACUGCUACCAACCACCAGGGGGAGCUCUAAGGGAUGAGUUUUACCUUCAGGCAGCUGUUGUCCAUAUUUUCAUACAACCUGCUGUGUUAACCCUAAGUAUAUUUUGCAGCGUAAUGAAUCUACACUGAUGUUUUUUACCUUUCUCGCAUUAUGUUUACAUGCAUUGCUAAAUUUUUCAUGACCGGAAUCUUGGCUAUCUUUAAUUUGAGUCUUUACCAAUGAUGUUUAUUAGUUUCUCAGAGAGAAUCUAUACAGUUUUAUCUUAUUUUGAAGCAGUAAAUCAUGCUCAUAUAAAUCCACUACAUACUUUGAACCACCAUGUAGCAGUUACAACGCUGAAUUACUUUCUUCCCCUUCUCCUAAACAUGAUUUCGCCCACAUUCAACAUAAAUCAUAUUGUUACUAUCAGCAUGUGAUGUUAAAAAACCACAUGGUAACACUCCUGUGAGUGCACAUUCCUGCAGAGAUAUUUAUGUUGACCUUAAAUGACUACAUUGCUGUUAAAGAUAUAUAGUUAUGGUGCUUGUGAGGGAGGCUGGAUGAUGGUGUUUGUAGAGGCCCUGAGGAGGAGGGGGGUCUGCUACAGAGCAAUUUAAUCUGGAGGAAGAUCACAUACUUUGGAAAGUUUAUCUUCCUGUGGCCAUUAGCUGACUCGAUGAGACAGAGCAACUGCAAAAAAAAAAAAAAAAAGAAAUGUGGGUACAGGCUUUCAACAACUGUGAAUUUUUGUUACAGAUCACCAGUAUAAAGCAUAUGGAUCUUGUCAUGUUACAUAUAAUUUUCUCUGAACAUCAGCACAAGUUCACAUCUGGCAGCUGAAUCAAAUGAUGUUGAGUCUGAUGCUGAGAUAUUUGCGUUUUGUCUCUUGCUCCUUUUUUCCCACUAAAUUUUAACCUAAGCCAUACACACAGCUACAUAGAUGAAAUAAAGAUUUAAUAAUUUAGUUAUUACAGUUUUACAAUAGCCAAACCUACUGUGUGGUGGAGCAGAUGGACUCAAUCCAUCCCUGGUCUAUGCUAAUAUCCCUGAUCAUGAUCAGUGAAUGUGGGUGGACACCCAAAACGUGUUUUAAGUGGGUGUUUUUUUGUUUUUGUUUUUUCAAAAUAAGUAAUAAACUCAAUACUGAUCUAAGAUAUUAUAUUAGAUCAUAUAUAUUGCACAUCAUGGUCAGCACCCAUUUAGGGCAUCUCUUGAAUCUCAUAAUAUGAAGAGACGAAGGCGUUCUGACAUGUUUAUAUACAGAAUGGGUUAGAUGCAGGAAAACUGUCGGUCUGGAGAGCAAAAGUUUGGAACAUAUCAGCUGUAUACACUCCAGGAUCACAUUGGCUGAAGUCUGAGUAUUGUUUAGCCUUUAUUUAUCUCUGUAAACAGACAUCUGCACCGUAGUGUGCCCACUAAUCCACUCUUGGACACUGUCUCUCAACUCCAACUGUAGUUGUACUGUAAACAAAAGUGAGGCACACAGAUGGAAGUUUUGGCUGUAUGUCAUUCACCCCCAGCCUCUUUUAUAGCUGAGGCCCUGAAGAGUUGAACAUCACCCCUAGUUGGUCGGUUUUUAUGAUUACCAUUUCCAAAGCUAAAAAAAGAAAAGAACAGUCUCACCAAACCCCAUGAACUUUUGGCCUCCCUGCCUCAAAAGACACCACUGUCACUUACCAAUAGGAGUCACUUCUUACUCCUAAUGUUUGUGUUACUUUUGUUGGUUAUUUGUAAGGCAUUAGUCAACUGAGUCUGUUUCAUAAUUAAAACUUCUUUAGCAUUUCUUUUCUGUUGAUAAUCUGGUACUUCUUUUACAUCUCAAAUUACUUAAAACUCUUAAAAAUACUCCAUACCAGUUUGGGUUUUUAUUGAAGACUACUCUCAUUUUCUCUCCUCUUUCCUCUCUCCUUCAUCUCUUCAGAUCACCUGUGCCCCCCUUGUGGUUUCAUCACAGUCUUGCCCACUCACCCAAAACAGCUUAAAACACUCAAACUGAGUCAUUUCACCUUCCUAGUCUUGGUUUCUGUCUUCAUCAAAACAACAUUUCAACAGUUAACUCAGAGGCUGAAGUAAUUGCUUAUAAUUUCAUUUAGACACGCACUCAUGUACAGACACCGGUCUCUAUCUCUGCCUCACUUGUUUCCUCCCUUCCCCUCCUUCUCCCUUUCUUUCAUGCUUUUCCCCCCAGGAGACAUGAUUUACUUGUGUCAGGGACAAGGACAUCUGCCUAUUAGCAAGUGCCACUGACGUAGGCAUCGCCAUCCCCUCCUCCUUAUUAUCCCCCUUCCUCAUCUGCCUUCUUCUCCCGCUCCUCCUCCUGCCUUACUCAAAUUGGGGUCGUCAACCUUCAUCGUGCUGGCUGGUGAAUCAUCGGUGGGACUUGUGCCGCACCAGGAGGAGGGGACGCCGUCCGCCCAGGAUACUUCCGUCCUCCUUCCCAAAUUACCAGGGUAACCCGACAUUGUCUGCUCUCUACUGUCACAUCACUCUGUCGCACAAAGAGAGGAAUAAAGAGACAGCAGGAGAGGUGGAAUAUGAAUGAGGGACUCGUGAAAAACACAGUUAAAUGCUGACAUUGGUUUAUCAUAGCUCAGCAUCUUAUGUUUCUUUAUCAGACUGCCAUUAGUGGUGAUAAUGAAGUCAUCCUAGCACUCCUUUACUCCAUGAACAAGACAGACAGACAGACAGACAGACCAUAAACAGAAGAUGAAGCUUUUGUGUAGCACCAGGCAAAGUGGGGAUAAUAGAUGUUGUGUUAUCUGAAUUGAAAGUAAUAUACUUGCAAGAAAUAAGCUACAAGACUACCAAGUGGAAACCAUAGACUGUAUAUACUAUGGACAACUUGGUUCCACCCUCUGCCAGUAGAUGGAUUUGAAGCUGAAAAGCUCUCUGUAUUUCCAUGAUUUUUCUUCAUUUCCUGAAACCAGCGCUGCGCAGUAGAGUUGUGUGCGUUUGGCAGGAGAGUCACCGAGAGUCGCUGUGAUGACGCUCGGCUCAAACAGCGUAUCCCCGGGGUGAGCUACGCAAUCUUAGUACGCCCAUAGGCUGUAUCAAGUGUCAAUCACAGAAAACAUGAACACCCUAAUAACUUUUAAAAACGGAGCUGUACAGAAAAAAGAGGACUUGAGCACAAACCAGACUUACAGUAACUACAUGUCAACAUCGCAAGCAGAGGGGAGAAAAAUUUAUAUUCUGUGUAAUAAAUUUCAAAAUUUUGUCCACAGCUCCAUAAACUGGAUAUGUAGCCCGCCGCCAGAGGGUGCUGUUCUCAGAGUGGCUUCACCCAGCAAGGAGGCAGACUCUGUCUGUCUGUAUACAGUCUAUAGUGGAAACCCCCAGUGUUGCAAACAAGGCCAGAGUGGAAGUGCAAAAAGAUGCAGGUCCUGGAGUGUCCACUUGAGGCAAAUUCAGACAUGCCAAGUUAAAUAAAAAUAUAUAAGUGGUAUGUUGGCGAUUCCACUAUUCUGUGCGUGUGUUUUUGGCAAAUCAUUUACACAGAAUAUAAAUUUUUCUCCCCCCAGGUUAUGAUGUUGACAUGUAAUUAUUGUAAGUUCAUGUUUUCUAUGAUUGACACUUGAUACAGCCUUCAGGCGUUCAAAGAUUGUAUACCUUACCUGGGGGAUACGCUGUUUGAGCAGAGCGUCAUCACAGCGACUCUCCCAUCGAACACUGCUGUGCAAAUGCAGGUUUCAGGAAAUGGAGAAAAUCCCCAAAAUACAGGGAGCAAUUUGGCUUUAAAUUCGUGCAAUGACGGGAGGCGGAGUCAUGUAGUCCAUACUAGAUACAGUCUGUGGGGUUAAUGCAUCCUAAAGGGUGCAGAGAUAAGGAGGAGUGGCAUCAAGUGACAGAAGUGUCAGAGAAAACUUGUUGAAAACUUGUUGAAAACAGAGAAAACUUGUGCACCAGCCUCUCUGUUGAGAAAGUGGCCAAGAAACCAUAACAAAAACUAGGCUAUCAACCACCACAGGCUGCACCUCUAGAUUUAGGUAAUUCUAACAAACUCUAACCAAUGCACUAUUCUCAAUUCUCAUUUGUCUCUGCGACCUAAACGUGGUCAGUGUUUGUAACCAGCAGAAUGUAGAGAACAGCAGGGUUGUGUGUGUAAAUGUGAUUUUUCUAUGUGUGUGUGUGUGAGGCAAAAGGUCAGCUUCAGCUCAGACCAACAGCACAUCAGCUCGGCUGCAGCUUAUUUGCUGAUGCUAUCUGCGAGCAGGAAUCUGAGUAAACACUGAGGUUAGAUAACAAGGAGAUCUUUGCUCGAUCUUUCUGCGCUGCACCACAAACUUCAGAUGCCCCCAAAACCUAAAUCCUUACUGAAAACAAACCCUCCAAUCUGCAUCUUUAUUUAUACUUCCGUUAACACAGGGACCCCUCGCUGUACGUCCAGGCCUCUCUGUUUCUAUCUCUCCUUUCUCUGAGUUAGAGAAUGUAAAACUUGAGUGCCCUUUUCCUCUUGUUAAAUUGCCAGAUUUCUGUCCUUAAGCUCACUCCUGUUCUCCUUGCACAGAUAUCAACGGACACAGAUGUCCUGCUUGGACAGACAGCCACAUCCUGCCAAAGAUAGUAACAGAGAGAUGAAUCACUCCAUCAGUUUAUUCAAGCAAGAGAUUUUCAAUCACUCCAGCACGAAACAGUGAAUCAACAGGACAUAUCAAUUUACUGAAUGAUAGAGAGGUUUCUGCUUUGUUUUGUUUGGGGUUUGUGCUUUCACAUUUUGUUCUCAAACAUUUGGAGAAUCUGGAAACGUGUGACCUUGUGGCCUGUUUCAGGUUGUGUGGAGUAUGAGCUGCAUGCAUGCACAACACUACAGGCCACACCUGGACACAUCUGGAGCCGGGGAGGGCAGCCCUGCUCUGACCCCGACACAUCUGGAGCUGACACUCUCAGAGACAGCGAGGAGAUGCAUAAAGAACACUCACACAUAUGUACAGUAUAUGUUCUCCAUGGGAAAUACACAAACGCUGAAAGGCAUGCACUCCUACACUCCUGAACACACACAUGUCCAUGUAUGUGUGUCAUCUAUGUAUCUGCAUGCACAUACACACACGCAAAAAAGACAAAUGCUAAAUCACACACACGCCCACCAGAUGCAGCUGGUUCAUCCUGCCAUCUCAUGAAUUGUGAGCCUGCCUUUUUAUUUUAUGUAUAGAGGCAGACUCGUGUUUUAUCACACUGUCUCAGGGAGAAAUAUGAGCAGGUGCUGCAGCUGUUUGAGCUGCAUUUUGACCUCCCAGAAGAGCCAACGAACAGUGCACGACAAAACAUCCUGAAUGAAAGCUCUGAGCCUCGCUCUGCAUUUAACUAAGGAAACCAAAUUAUUUGUGUUGAAAUAAACGACUGAUCAUCCACUGUACAAUAAAGUUUAAACUGUUUUUUGUUUACUUGUUUAUGACUUUUCUGGUCAGUAUUUGGGUUACAUUAUUUGUUGAUCACUUCCUCUAUAAUACUCACACACAAAGCGUAAAAUUAAUUUAGGGUCAAACACACCGUAACACUGAGUUAGACACCCCCUCGAGAGAUGAAUGUUGCCGACCGCUUGCUUCUCUAGUUAUACCAACUUUAUUAAUGACCGCACAAUAGCAAUACACAGUGGUCUGAGGAGCCAUUAACAAACCUCAACCAAAAAGCCACUCUAUAGCCACAAAUAAUGCUCAGAACAGCACCUAACUUCAUCAACAGUACAUAAGGGUCCCAGCCACAGGACUAGCCACCAAACAGCUUUUAAACUUUGCCUAAUUUCUGUAAGAGACUAAAUGCAACUCACCUUCUCUCUUCCAGCAGCCGCUUGUUUGUAGGGAGACCUCAGGCCAGUCCAUUACGGAGUGCAACAUGGUGACGCAGCUCAAGGAAGAACAUUUAUGAUCAUUUCUUUAUCAUUUCCGUGAAGUAAAAAUCAUCAUAUUAAUCAUUUUGCACUGCAGACACAGUAGUUCUUCCGCAUUAGCGUCUCGGUCUGAUUGCAUUUCAAGGAAGAAGGCAGCUCAAGGAAGAACAUUCAUGAUCAUUUCUUCAUGGAAAUCCAAUCAGAAGAAGAACUACUGCGUCUGCAGUGCAACAUUAUUAAUAUGCUGAUUAUUACUUCAAGGAAAUGAUAAAGAAAUGAUCAUAAAUGUUCUUCCUUGAGCUGCGUCACCCCGCAGCAGUCCGUAAUGGACUGGCCUGAGGUCUCGCUACAAACAAGCGGCUGCUGGAAGAGAGUAGGUGAGUUUUGUUUAGUCUCUUUGCUAAAGAAAUUAGGCAAAAAAGAUGCUAAAAAGCUAAGCUAAGCUAAGCUAAAAAGAUGUUUGGUGGCUAGUACUAUGGCUGGGACCCUAUAUGUCCUGUUGAUGAAGUUAGGUGCUGUUCUGAGCAUUAUUUGUGGCUAUAGAGUGGUGUUUGGGUUAGGCGCGUGGGACCGCUGUGUAUUGGUAUCGAUCGUUACUAAAGUUGGUAUAACGAGAGACGCAAGCAGUUGGCAACAUUCAUCUCCCAAGGGGGUGUCCAACUUGGUGUUACGGUGUGUUUGACCCUAACUUAAUUUUACGCCGGAAUAUCCCUUUAACCCCUUAUAAAACUGUUUACAUGCUGUCAAUUGGUUUGUUAUGACUUAUAAUCCAACUAAGCGAAGCUGCAGGUGUUCCUGUUUGGGUUUGAAGGCAUGUAGCACUGAACUCGUCUUAUUUUUAUCCUCAGGAAGAGCUCUACUGCUGGUGGGCCGAGUGGGACACUCGUUUGUUAGUUUAUUUAUUUCCCAUGGCCAAUUACCAGGGCAGGUUUGUGUCAACACAGAGGCCAGCUUCCUGUUAUUACUGACCACACACACACACAUGCUUGCAUAUACAGACCUGUAAUAUAUGUUCUGUAAUUGUAUGCAGGCACGCAGACAGACAGACUAAUGUGGCAUACGCACAGGACACAUCCACAAACAACCUCACAUCCUCGUCUGUAAAGGUCUGUAAACUCACCUCAUUUCUUAAACACAAACUCAGAAAAAGGUACAAAGCAAAUAAUGAGUUAAAGUAAAUGCUUUUUCUAAAAACUGGCAUUGGUUUGUUUUUCUGUAGCCCCUUUCAUAUGGGUGAGUGCUUUUUCACUGUUUAAAGGUGAUUUAAAGUCGAUAAUUUUUAGCCUGUUAUCCAAAAUAACAUAAAAAACAUGUAUUUGACCUUUUCCUUUAUAUGUCUUCUGCAGUACUCGCCUCUUGCAAUAUGAGCCCAGAAUUACCAUUUAAGAAGCUAUACUAUAGAGCUGUAGAGGUGUUCUGCUGAAAGUAAUGGCAUGACUUGCCUGGUUAUAACUGUGGCAGAGCAUCCAGUGUUUGGCCAAUGAUCUACAGUGCAUUAUUGAUGAGAGCACAGUUUAAAUUGAUAUACGAUAAAACUCAUUGUGUGUUUUUUUUAUGAAUGGAGAAGCUGCUCAAACUACAACAUCACCGCUUCACAUCGGUUUAUACUUCACAUGAACCUGUAGGACUUGCGUUUGCAUGUAAAUGCAGCUGAUUCGUGUCUGUCUCGGAGCGCCGUUUUAGUGAAUGAAUCAGUGCAGCAGCAGUAGUAGUUUCUGGAGUGUGUGGGCGGCUGUUUGAAUGAAAGACGAGUCCAUCCUUGUUCAAACGUCCUUGAGCGAGAUAAUGAAUGCGUAUCAGCUUGAAGGAUGCUCUCUCUCUCUCCCCCUCUUUCUCUCUCUCUCUCUCUCUCUACCACAAACAUACACACAAUGAACCACACACACUCAAACAAAGGAUCCAUCUCUGCCUCCUCACUGACCUUGUCUUUUGCGUCUGCAAUCGUGAUACAACUGAGAUGGACUGUUGAUGAGGAGUGCAACUGUGGAACUUCUGUUUGUCUGCUCUUGGCUCAUUUUAUUAGCAUUUGCUUAUACGAUUAUCAAUAGUAGAAUUGACUAUCUGUAUAUUUUUCAACCUUUUUCUCUUCAAUCGCUUGUCCAUAAACAGGUGUAUCCAAUUUAUUUUAAUGUAAUCAUGAUACAUGAGCCGUGAGUCUUUACAUCUGACUCUUACCCAGUGGCAGUACCACAAGACAUUGAAAUUACAAAUGUCAAAAGCCUCCGACUGUUAUCCACAAAAUAUUCUCAGAUUUAUUAAAAAGCAUUUAUCGGGGUGUCAGUGGGCUGGCAGCCUCAGUGGGGCUCAGGUACAGAGACUGCAGUCCUCAUCCCAGAGGUGGCUCGUUUGACUCUUCGCACUGACCUUUUGCUGUGUGUCCUCCCAUUUCCUGUCUCUCUUCAGCUGUCCUAUUUGAUAAAGGCAAAAUAGCCCAAAAAACAUUAUUUCAAAACAAAAUUUAAAGCAUUCAUUCCAAAGGUUCAAGCAAGAUGUGUUCAUACUUUCCCUAUUAGGAGUUCAGUCAGGUCCCUUAAGUCCUUUGAGUGUUAAGUACGUGACUCAGAAGGAAGAGGGGUAUGAAGUGUUGGCAUGAAAAUUUUUAAGCACAAUAACAUUAACUCCCCAGGUCGCUUUCUCUCUGGAGAAACACUGACCUCAGGACAAAAGAAUGAAACCUUAUCGCUGCAAAAACUCUCGCUGGAAUUCCUCGCCGGUGAAUGAACAACAUCAGACCCUGUUUGUGUGGCUGUGUCUGUGUAUAGUCUGUCACUGUGUGUGUGGGUGUGUAUGUGUGUGUAUGUGUGUGUACUUCCAUAUAGGCCCAACUCAGAUGAGUGGACAUACUUGCGCAAAUAUCUAAUGCUUGUCUUUGUCUCUCUUUCCUCUUUGCUUCUUCCCUUGUUUUCUGCAGUGUCAUUCUCUUUUCAGGCCCUCCUGGAGUCUACAGUCAGCUAAGCAUCUAGGUGUUUACUGGAAGCAUCUAGCCUGUGAUCUAAACAUUUUCCCCUUAUGGUAUUGUCUGUUUUUCUGCUUUUUUACUGAGAAGUAAGGGUCGGAUCCCAAUGUCUGAAAAAGGGAGCAAAGGAAGCAAGAUACAGCAAUAAAGUUCAGUUUAAUUUCAGCGUGCCCUUAGCCAAGCUC